GACGAACGCUGGCGGCGUGCUUAACACAUGCAAGUCGAACGAGGUCCAUUGCGAGCUUGCUCAAGAGAAGACCUAGUGGCGAACGGGUGCGUAACACGUGAGGAACCUGCCCCAGACUUGGGAAUAACAGUCGGAAACGGCUGCUAAUACCGAAUACCUUCGUAGCGCUGCAUGACGCAUCGAAGAAAGCUUUUGCGGUUUGGGAGGGUCUCGCGGCCUAUCAGCUUGUUGGUGAGGUAACGGCUCACCAAGGCAUCGACGGGUAGCUGGUCUGAGAGGAUGAUCAGCCACACUGGGACUGAGACACGGCCCAGACUCCUACGGGAGGCAGCAGUGGGGAAUAUUGCACAAUGGGCGAAAGCCUGAUGCAGCAACGCCGCGUGCGGGAAGAAGGCCCUAGGGUUGUAAACCGCUUUCAGCAGGGAAGAAACUGACGGUACCUGCAGAAGAAG
Molecule: ribosomal RNA, 452 nt
Filed under: uncultured bacterium
Lineage: Bacteria
Description: bacterial SSU rRNA
Rfam family: Bacterial small subunit ribosomal RNA
Source: RNAcentral